This 1627-nucleotide long non-coding RNA is filed under the name Patiria miniata (bat star). Its description in RNAcentral is "uncharacterized LOC119721900, transcript variant X1". Lineage: Eukaryota; Metazoa; Echinodermata; Asteroidea; Valvatida; Asterinidae. The record is from RNAcentral.
GGAGGACCGACAGAUGAACGGAUGACCUGCUUGCUGGGCUUCCCAUUAUUGAUUCUUGAGAAAAAUGAGGACCACUGACCGAUGAGGGAAUUGCUUUACUGAGAUUGAUGAGCCUACCUCAAUACAUCGUCAGGGCUCCAACAGCCUUAUCACACAGAAACUCGAGGAACCGGAAGCGGGGAGGAGGACCGACAGAUGAACGGAUGACCUGCUUGCUGGGCUUCCCAUUACUGACUAUCAGAAAAAUGAGGACCACUGACUGAUGAGGGAAUUGCUCUACUUGGAUUGAUGAGCCUGCCUCAAGACAUCGCCAGGGCUCCAACAGCUUCACCAAACAGAAACCCGAGGAACCGGAAGCAGGGAGGAGGACCGACAGAUGAACGGAUGACCUGCUUGCCGGGCUUCCUAUUCCUGAUUAUUAGAAAAAUGAGGACCACUGACUGAUGAGGGAAUUGCUCUACUGGGAUUGAUGAGCCUGCCUCAAGACAUCGCCAGGGCUCCAACAGCUUCACCAAACAGAAACCCGAGGAACCGGAAGCAGGGAGGAGGACCGACAGAUGAACGGAUGACCUGCUUGCUGGGCUUCCCAUUCCUGAUUAUUAGAAAAAAUGAGGACCACUGACUGAUGAGGGAAUUGCUCUACUGGGAUUGAUGAACCUGACUCAAGACAUCGCCAGGGCUUCAACAGCCUCAUCAAACAGAAACAUGAGGAACCGGAAGCAGGGAGAAGGACCGACAGAUGAACGGAUGACCUGCUUGCCGGGCUUCCCAUUCCUGAUUAUUAGAAAAAUGAGGACCACUGAUUGAUGAGGGAAUUGCUCUACUGGGAUUGAUGAACCUGCCUCAAGACAUCGCCAGGGCUCCAACAGCUUCACCAAACAGAAACAUAAGGAACCGGAAGCAGGGAGGAGGACCGACAGAUGACCUGCUUGCUGGGCCACCCAUUACUGAUUCUUGAGAAAAAUGAGGACCACUGACUGAUGAGGGAAUUGCUUUACUGAGAUUGAUGAGCCUACCUCAAUACAUCGUCAGGGCUCCAACAGCCUUAUCACACAGAAACUUGAGGAACCGGAAGCGGGGAGGAGGACCGACAGAUGAACGGAUGACCUGCUUGCUGGGCUUCCCAUUACUGACUAUCAGAAAAAUGAGGACCACUGACUGAUGAGGGAAUUGCUCUACUGGGAUUGAUGAGCCUGCCUCAAGACAUCGCCAGGGCUCCAACAGCUUCACCAAACAGAAACAUGAGGAACCGGAAGCAGGGAGGAGGACCAACAGAUGAACGGAUGACCUGCUUGCCAGGCUUCCCAUUCCUGAUUAUUAGAAAAAUGAGGACCACUGACUGAUGAGGGAAUUGCUCUACUGGGAUUGAUGAACCUGCCUCAAGACAUCGCCAGGGCUCUAACAGCUUCACCAAACAGAAACAUGAGGAACCGGAAGCAGGGAGGAGGACCGACAGAUGAACGGAUGACCUACUUGCUGGGCUUCCCAUUCCUGAUUAUUAGAAAAAUGAGGACCACUGACUGAUGAGGGAAUUGCUCUACUGGGAUUGAUGAACCUACCUCAAGACAUCGUCUUAACAGGAACAAUCAACAAAGUGAGGACCACUGACUGAUGAGGGAAUUGCUCU